Long non-coding RNA from Numida meleagris (helmeted guineafowl), 3293 nucleotides. Lineage: Eukaryota; Metazoa; Chordata; Aves; Galliformes; Numididae. The record is from Ensembl.
GAAUUAUUCCAUUUGCAUUAAUAUUUUUGUUAAGCGUCAUCACCAUUCAGUGCUUUCAUAUAGCAAGGUCUGUGUAUCAACAAAUACUCCUGAACCACGUGCACCAUCCUUUGCCCCCAUGAAGUACCUUGCCAGCUCUCCUGGCACUGCUCUCUGCCACAUUGUAAUUCUGCAGCUUGCCUCUCACACUGCUGAAGAGAUAGAAACAAAGUCGUGUGUACAGGAAUUUGAUCAUUUGAGCUGGUUUUAAGCUCAUUUCAAUUAACUUGGUAAACUAUCAGAGAUAAGCUGCGUGGAGUCACCUUCACUGAUAGCAGUGGGUGCGGGAUGCACGGAGCUCACAUUUAUCCCAAUAAACACCCCACGAUGGGAGGCUGAUCAUGCACGCUCUGUCAUUAUCUUUAGCACUUUAUAGAUAUAUUUGGCUUGGUGGCAGAAGCGUUCCCGUGGCUGUUGUAAGCGAGGCAUCACCUGUGUAACAGCCUUUCCAGCACUUCCCAGAUUCAGGGUGCGAGGUGUGAGCACGACGGGUGGUGGGAGGCCCCGGAGCUUUGCAGGAGCUAUCAGAGGCCCAGCAGGGCUGGGGAGCGUUGUGUUCCCCGUUUGCAGGUGGCACCAUUCAAGUUAAAGCAGUGCAGACAAGCUUAGGAGGUCAGGAGGAGGAGCUGCUGCCUGAGCCAUCCAAGUCCUUCUGCUUAUGAAACUGAAAGGAAAAUGCCUGGAGGAAGAAAUUGGGCAAGUCUCAAGGGAUUGUGUUACUGAAGGAGAAAGACCUAAAAUGAUGAUGCUGCUGUUUAACGAUGUCACGUUGUUCUGCUCCAUCACUAAAAACCAAGCAGCUACCUUUCAUGGGUACAGAUGUGUGGGAUUUGUACCAAUUUUCAAAGUAGAUCUUGGGAAUGACAGUUUGCAGUGGCUUUGGUCUUUGAAAGCAGGUCCUGAAGAAAUAAUUCUGACCCCUUCCAGCUGGGACCAGCCGUGGUCCCACAGGAGCAGCCAGCAAAAGGCAUUUGUAGAUGUGAGACUAAGCAGUGUGCAUGGUGGCACCCGGCUGGAGCGCCCUCUGCAAAUGCAUGUGAAUCAUGUCCAUCACAAAUGAGCCUCAAAGAACUCACGCUCAAAAAAUCAGAAGGCCCCAGUGUGCUGUGCUGCUUUCUUUUUCCACAACUCUUUUAACCUUUGUAAAGUUCUUGCUCAUGCUGUGAAACUUCUUCGGACUAGAGAGAAGAGCAUCAUGGAAACAAAACCUGAUUACUUACUUCCUUCUGCAAACCCAAGCAUCUUCUGCGGGUACAAGGUGUGCUGGUGGGGUCUCGGUCCAUGGGAGAUGAAUUUGCAUCGUUCAUCUGUGCUACCCCAUGAAAAAAAGAACCCACGGCCCUGGAAUAUUUUAUCUCUUUCUGCAGGACCCUGACAGAUCUCUCCCCUGGGACCGUAAAUUCUUUCCUGACUGUCACUGCUGCUCCUGAACUCCAGCGUGGCACAUUGGAAGAGUGAGCUUUGUUCCUCCACAGCACAGAGGGCAUGCCACAGAUAAUUUAAGGGCCCAUUUUUCUUUUUAGAUGACAUUAAAUAUUCUUUACUUAAAAAAAAAAGUCAUCCACACCACUUGGCAUGAAGCAAUAUAUUCAGGAGAAGGGCAGAUGUUGUUUAAUGAAAGAGCGCUCUUGCCUCUGCUGUGUGUCCAUUUCUUGAAUCCUCAUGGCAAGGAGCAAUCUCAGCCUUGGGCCAAAGGUUUAAGGACUUGCUUUGCCCCUGCAGUAGGGGAAAGGAAAUUCUGACUGGGUCAAUGUCUGGACUUUCAUGCUUUGCCCAGCCAUCGUCCUGUCUUCCGUGUAUUUGCAUCCCAGCUGGGAAUGCUGAAGGCUGAGCUGCAGCCCAUGGAAGGAUGCAUCCUUUGGGGUUUUCUUUGUUCUCUGGAAGGGAUGGUGAGCCUGGAAUGAGGCUUCUGGCAGCCCCUGGGAGCUCAAGGCUGUGGGAGAAGUCAUCCUGCUUUUACAGCGAAUGGAUUUGACCAAGAAAGCAGUGAAAGAGAAAACACAGAGCUCCUCUGCUGGCGUGUUGCAUUGGGUCUCCUUUCAGUGAGGAAGCAUACAGCAAACUGUCUGCAAAUAGCUAUUGCAGCAGUGAAAAAAGGAAUGUGGAAAGGGGGGGGAAUCUGAUUUCUGACCCACGUUCUCACCUCUGAUUUGAGGGGAAUGGUGGGAGUUCACACCUCAUAUUUCUUCCUUUAGCUUUCCCAGCUACAGAACCGAAAUUAGAAAAAAAUAAUAUAUAAGGAAAUGGCAACCAGAAAAUGUUAUGGAAAGGAAAGGAGUGAUUCAGGACUGGAGUAACACCAAUCAAAUUGCUUUUCAAAGACCCUAAAAAUAUUCUCAUGAUUCAAGCAACUAAAACUGAGGGACACCUUGGACGCAAAGAAGCAAGUUAUUUUCCAGUCCUUGCACUCUCAUACCCCAAGCAAACCUUCUCAAAAAUCAGUUCCUAUGACCUUUCCGUUCCUUUAGUGGAAAGUUUGCCGCCUGGUUAUCUCUUUCCUUCUUUGAGCUGCCAAAGGCACCUUGACGUGCAUCUAAAACUUCCCCCCUGUGCGAAGGUGUGUGCCUCUCACUGUAUGAGUAGAGAUUAUGGAAACAGGACUGCUCAGAGUGGAGAAAUCUUGUGAUUUCUAGCUAAAAUAGGCUAUGUUUGCUCACAGAUUUAACUACAAUGUCGAGUCCUUUCAUUUUUUAUCCCCUUAAUGUUAUAUUCUGGGGUUUUUUAAUGUUUUUGCAUAAGGCAUUGUUUAUAAUUUGCCGGCAAUUCGUGUUGGGUGUCUGCACUCCUGCAUUCGUGGUGCAGGCGGGGCGGAGAUGACCUGCAGAUCCCAGUCGUGUUUGGCAGCUCCUCGUUCCUUGUAACAGUUUGACCUCGAGCAGCCAGGAUUUUAAAGCAGCAGAAAAAGAAUUUCAUAAAUAGCGUGAACUCGGUCAACGCAAAAUUAAAUGCGCCUCUGCAACGCAAACACUGAAGCGCGCCCACGAAUUUAACUCUGACUGUUCCAAAGAGGUGUUCGUGGCAGCUGCUAUUAGGGCGAGGACCUAGCAUUGUCAGCGUGCUGCUUUCCUCUUUUCCACUUCCAUAUGAAUUUUCAUGAAUGACGUUGCCUGUGUUUGUGUGUUGUUGUACUUACGCCGCAGUGUUUGAUCUGUGUGUAUUACGCAUCUGCCUCGUGUAGCUCCAUCUAUACCAUGUUAAUUAUAUUGCUCUGGUGACAUAAUAAACACUAAGCGAGUUGUGAAUAGAUUAUUUAU